This is a long non-coding RNA of Cydia pomonella (codling moth), 1116 nucleotides long. RefSeq lists it as uncharacterized. NCBI's taxonomy places the organism in Eukaryota, Metazoa, Arthropoda, Insecta, Lepidoptera, Tortricidae. The transcript is spliced from 2 exons. The record is from RefSeq and is a predicted model, not a curated record.
GCCCGCACACCGGCACCCCCUCACACACCCGCGCGUCGCUGCCGCGUCGUUGCGAUCGCUUCUUAAUUCAGCUAUCAAAUUCUGAAAUAUUCAUAAGGUAAAUCUUUCCCUGAGAAUUGGGUGUACCCAAUAUCUCCUUUUUUUAACUGCCUCUAAUCGUUUCUUUCGCAAAUAAUACAAAACCACAAACAUUUCGUCGACGUUCAUCUUGUACUAAGCCUCGCUACCCACUCGAAAAAUACACGCCAGCUGCGAUCGUGCACGACAGACGACUAGUGGGAACAGUACCGCCGACACCCGAUUGAAAUCCGGAUCCGACAUCCGACAUAGUGAGAACAGCGGCAACGACACACGAUUAAAAAUCGCCACGACAUCCGACAUAGUGGGAACGAGCUCUAAGCCGCACGCCCGCUCCAUGCACACGCGCGACGUUGCGGACGCCCUAUGCCCUAAACCUUACUUGAAAGUGUGAAGGUUACUCUGACAGCGGCUAUAUCAGCUAUAAUGUAUUUAUGACGCUUUGAGCAUAGCUAGUUACGACGCCUUAAGGUAUUCUUGGCGUUCAAAAGGUUAAGGGCGUUUGCUAGCUGGCGCGAGUGCACGGAGCGGGUGCACCUAGCGUCGCCAGUUACUGUUUUUCGUUAACCCGCUUCAGCUAGCAAACUAAUCGCAAAUGGUCCGAGAUUGGCGCAAUAAUCAUGCAUUCCCUUAUCUGGAUCUGGAUGCACCUAUUCACCAAUGCUUGCUUUAAAGUAACUUGUCGACUCGUCCUGAUAAUAUUUGUGCGACCGUGAAGAAAAUCUAUGCUGUCACUUAUUUUUCAAUUUAUAUGAAAUAAAGAUGUUAAAUGUAUUCAAAAGUUUUUAUUUAAUAAGGUAUGUAUAAGUGCUCUGUGCAUCCGCACCAGCUAGCGGUGCCCUUAGCAAACCAAUCGCAAAUGGUCCGAGAUUGGCGCAAUAACCAUGCAUUCUCUUAUCUGGAUCUGGAUGCACCUAUUCACCAAUGCUUGCUUUAAAUUAACUUGUCGACUCAUCCUGCUAAUAUUUGUGCGACCGUGAAGAAAAUGUAUGCCGUCAGUUAUUUUUCAAUUUAUAUGAAAUAAAGGUGUUAAAUGUA